GAACGCGUCUUAGAUUUUCUUAACAAGAACCCAAACCGACUGCCACCCUUCACUGAAUGCCUACGGUAUACCAGGCACUCAAGGGCCUCGACACACUGUGUAGUUGGAAGUGGCGCUCAUCGGACUUCCUUCCGUCCCAGGACCUGUGCGCGCCUUCCCCUGGGCCUCGUUCCCCAGCGCGGACUUCAGGAGCUUUGGUCCCUUCCCAAGUCCUUCAUCAUCAAGACUGAUUUCCUUUCACGGACAAAUCUGAAGGAACCCAACAGGUGCUGACCACAUGGAGCAGAAUUUGUCUCUGCAGGAUCUGGUGCCUGCUGAAAUUUUCCAUAAAUAUGCUGCUUGUGAAGCUAAUUAGAUCCUACUCUGAUGUGGUCUGAAGCUGGCCACAGGGCUGAUGCUGCAUGGAGGGGGAUGCUCCACCCAAGAAAAAUGGCGUCUGUGGUGUGGGAGAGGGCUCAACACAGCAAUCCUGAUGGCUGCCCCUUCACCUCUCUCUGCAGAGCCACAAACCUCCAUCUCUUCUCAGGAGACUCUACUCCAUUCCAUCAGAGUCCAGGACAUGCACCUGCAGAACUCUAAGGGUCCCCACUGGACUUGCAACCAGGGAGCAGUGGGCAGUAGCAGCUCAUCCAGGGCUAACCCCCUGAACCUGUCUCCAAGACUCCGUUUUCUCAGACUUCCCAGUGGACCAAUAGCAACCCCACCUUGGCUCACUUCUGUGGCUUCUUCUAUUGCUUCUUUUAUCCCAAGUCCUUCCAAAAAAAAAAACCACGUCAUAGACACAGACAACAACCUGUUGAUUAGCAGAGGGAAAUGGGGUGAGGGAGGCAGCAGAGGGUGGAGAGGGAAUGAAUGGCAACAG
Molecule: long non-coding RNA, 862 nt
Organism: Phyllostomus hastatus (greater spear-nosed bat)
Lineage: Eukaryota; Metazoa; Chordata; Mammalia; Chiroptera; Phyllostomidae
Exons: 4
Source: RefSeq, a predicted model, not a curated record